Penaeus vannamei (Pacific white shrimp) is the source of this 743-nucleotide non-coding RNA. The record is from RefSeq and is a predicted model, not a curated record. NCBI's taxonomy places the organism in Eukaryota, Metazoa, Arthropoda, Malacostraca, Decapoda, Penaeidae.
AGUCCGACAGACACUUUCCUAGUGAGCAGGUCUUGUAGAUUUGUGCUAUUCCCCUUGUGAUAAUUACCACGCUGAGACACUCGCUUCCAGCCACCUUAGGUACUCGCCCUCUCAGCCCCCAACUCGCCGAGACCCCCAGGCAUCGUCCACACCCGUCCGGCAAGGGACCCGCUGGACGACCUACAAGUGCUCAAUACUCUUUGAAAAGCUCCAACCAUUAUGUCUCUCGUCACCGUCCUUGGGAGUAUGGGAACGGGAGGACGAAUCCCAGGCAGAGCAAAUGUUUACGGCUUUGGAGGCAUUCCGGCUUCGCUCAAAGAGAAGAAACUCAAAGAAGCGAAGCUGCAGAACGCCCACGCCAAGGCAGCUGUCAUCGCCGCUGAACACGCUGCGGAGACGAAAAAGAAAGAUGAUAGUAAAUGAGACACUGCCGAGGUGAAGAAGUGCUGUUGGUGAGGUUCUUCGUGCCUAGAGCUGCCACCACGGGUAGAAGCUGUAGAAGGUGAAAGGCUGUACUCCUUUUAUGAUACCUGAAGAAGCGGUCGCCUGAACUAGGAUCCCAUACGCACAAAAGGCCAUCAGGAAUCCGGUUUAGGGCGACUUGUUCUCCCAUCGCUCCCUCGUAGAUCCGUAGUGCUGCUGUUGUUGUUUUGGAUUUAGGUCGUUCCUCCUUUUUUUUUAAUAGAUUUAGAUAUUUUUGUUUUUUUUUUAUUUUUUCUGGAGGGUGUUUAAUUCAUUAAUUU